This 25-nucleotide non-coding RNA is filed under the name Cricetulus griseus (Chinese hamster). The record is from RNAcentral. Lineage: Eukaryota; Metazoa; Chordata; Mammalia; Rodentia; Cricetidae. RNAcentral also lists the same sequence under 1 other name.
GAGUUGGAAUAGGAGCUUGCUCCGU